UACGGAGGGAGCUAGCGUUGUUCGGAUAUACUGGGCGUAAAGCGCACGUAGGCGGCUUUGUAAGUUAGAGGUGAAAGCCCGGAGCUCAACUCCGGAAUUGCCUUUAAGACUGCAUCGCUUGAAUCCAGGAGAGGUGAGUGGAAUUCCGAGUGUAGAGGUGAAAUUCGUAGAUAUUGGGAAGAACACCUGAGGCGAAGGCGGGAUGCUGGGCCGACACUGACGCUGAGGCGCGAAAGCCAGGGGAGCGAACGGG
RNAcentral lists this ribosomal RNA (253 nucleotides) under uncultured bacterium. Its description in RNAcentral is "partial 16S ribosomal RNA". It matches the Rfam family "Bacterial small subunit ribosomal RNA", at positions 524 to 776 of the family's 1533-position model. The record is from RNAcentral.